CUACGUGCCAGCAGCCGCGGUAAUACGUAUGUCGCAAGCGUUAUCCGGAAUUAUUGGGCAUAAAGGGCAUCUAGGCGGCCAGAUAAGUCUGGGGUGAAAACUUGCAGCUCAACCGCAAGCCUGCCCUGGAAACUAUGUGGCUAGAGUACUGGAGAGGUGGACGGAACUGCACGAGUAGAGGUGAAAUUCGUAGAUAUGUGCAGGAAUGCCGAUGAUGAAGAUAGUUCACUGGACGGUAACUGACGCUGAAGUGCGAAAGCUAGGGGAGCAAACAGGAUUAGAUACCCUGGUAGUCCUAGCUGUAAACGAUGAUUACUGGGUGUGGGCAUGAAGAGUGUCCGUGCCGAAGCUAAUGCGAUAAGUAAUCCGCCUGGGGAGUACGGCCGCAAGGCUGAAACUCAAAGGAAUUGACGGGGACCCGCACAAGCGGUGGAGCAUGUGGUUUAAUUCGACGCAACGCGAGGAACCUUACCAGAUCUUGACAUCC
This 487-nucleotide ribosomal RNA is filed under the name uncultured bacterium. RNAcentral describes it as "bacterial SSU rRNA". It matches the Rfam family "Bacterial small subunit ribosomal RNA", at positions 501 to 989 of the family's 1533-position model. The record is from RNAcentral.